GGAACGUAUUCACCGCGGCAUUCUGAUCCGCGAUUACUAGCGAUUCCAACUUCACGCAGGCGGGUUGCAGCCUGCGAUCCGAACUGGGAUGGCUUUUAGGGAUUUGCUCCACCUCGCGGCUUUGCUUCCCUCUGUUGACCACCAUUGUAGUACGUGUGUGGCCCAGGACAUAAGGGGCAUGAUGAUUUGACGUCGUCCCCACCUUCCUCCGUUUUGUCAACGGCAGUCUCGCUAGAGUGCUCUUGCGUAGCAACUAACAAUAAGGGUUGCGCUCGUUGCGGGACUUAACCCAACAUCUCACGACACGAGCUGACGACAACCAUGCACCACCUGUCUCCAGUGUCCCCGAAGGGAAAACCCUAUCUCUAGAGCGGUCACCGGGAUGUCAAGCCCUGGUAAGGUUCUUCGCGUCGCUUCGAAUUAAACCACAUACUCCACCGCUUGUGCGGGCCCCCGUCAAUUCCUUUGAGUUUCAACCUUGCGAUCGUACUCCCCAGGUGGGAUACUUAUUGUGUUAACUGCGGCACGGAGGGGGUCAGU
Molecule: ribosomal RNA, 540 nt
Filed under: uncultured bacterium
Lineage: Bacteria
Description: partial 16S ribosomal RNA
Source: RNAcentral